This 273-nucleotide microRNA precursor is filed under the name Helianthus annuus (common sunflower). RNAcentral's name for it is "microRNA MIR821". The record is from RNAcentral. Lineage: Eukaryota; Viridiplantae; Streptophyta; Magnoliopsida; Asterales; Asteraceae.
CAUUUCAGUCCACUAACUUAACUCCAUCCAUUUAUUUUGUUAACUUUGGGUGAAAUGACCAAAUUGCCCCUGCUAACUUAACAAAUUGUAAUAAAAAAUGCAGUUCACAGAAUUCGAACCCAUGACCUUUGAUUUUGAAAACAACCACCCAUGGGUUCGAAUUCUGUGAACUGCAUUUUUUAUUACAAUUUGUUAAGUUAGCAGGGGCAAUUUGGUCAUUUCACCCAAAGUUAACAAAAUAAAUGGAUGGAGUUAAGUUAGUGGACUGAAAUG